RNAcentral lists this ribosomal RNA (466 nucleotides) under uncultured bacterium. RNAcentral describes it as "partial 16S ribosomal RNA". It matches the Rfam family "Bacterial small subunit ribosomal RNA", at positions 28 to 507 of the family's 1533-position model. The record is from RNAcentral.
GAUGAACGCUGGCGGCGUGCUUAACACAUGCAAGUCGAACGAUGAAGCCCAGCUUGCUGGGUGUUUUAGUGGGGAACGGGUGAGUAAAAGGGGAGUACCUUGCCCUUAACUUUGGGUUAAGCCUGGGAAACGGGGCCUAUACCCGGAUAGGGGCGCCCACCGCAUGGUGGGUGUUGGAAAGAUUAUGGGGUUUUGGUUGGACUCGGGGCUUAUCAGCUUGUUGGUGAGGUAAUGGCUCACCAAGGCGACGACGGGUAUCCGGCCUGAGAGGGUGACCGGCCACACUGGGACUGAGACACGGCCCAGACUCCUACGGGAGGCAGCAGUGGGGAAUAUUGCACAAUGGGCGCAAGCCUGAUGCAGCGACGCCGCGUGAGGGAUGACGGCCUUCGGGUUGUAAACCUCUUUCAGUAGGGAAGAAGCGAAAGUGACGGUACCUGCAGAAGAAGCACCGGCUAACUACGUG